This 444-nucleotide ribosomal RNA is filed under the name uncultured bacterium. Its description in RNAcentral is "bacterial SSU rRNA". It matches the Rfam family "Bacterial small subunit ribosomal RNA", at positions 958 to 1399 of the family's 1533-position model. The record is from RNAcentral.
AACGCGAAGAACCUUACCUGGGCUCGAACGGCUUUGGAACAUCCUUGGAAACAGGGACUUCCCGCAAGGGACCGGAGUCGAGGUGCUGCAUGGCUGUCGUCAGCUCGUGUCGUGAGAUGUUGGGUUAAGUCCCGCAACGAGCGCAACCCUUGUCCUGUGUUGCCACUCCCGUAAGGGAAGCACUCUCAGGAGACCGCCAGCGAUAAGUUGGAGGAAGGUGGGGAUGAUGUCAAGUCAUCAUGGCCUUUAUGUCCAGGGCUACACACGUGCUACAAUGGACGGUACAAAGCGCUGCAAACCCGCGAGGGGGAGCUAAUCGCAAAAAACCGUUCUCAGUUCGGAUCGCAGGCUGCAACUCGCCUGCGUGAAGCUGGAAUCGCUAGUAAUGCCGUAUCAGAACGAUGGCGUGAAUACGUUCCCGGGCCUUGUACACACCGCGUGUCU